This is a long non-coding RNA of Drosophila suzukii, 2040 nucleotides long. RefSeq lists it as uncharacterized. The record is from RefSeq and is a predicted model, not a curated record. NCBI's taxonomy places the organism in Eukaryota, Metazoa, Arthropoda, Insecta, Diptera, Drosophilidae.
GUACCUACAGGUAUAUCAGUUUUACGUGCCCCCACAUAACGUGUUGGUCAAAGGGAAACUUUGAAGAUGCAGCCAAAAAAUUAUCAUGAGAUCAGGUUAUACCAGGUAUAUGUGUCUUUUUACAGACUACAGGCGCUGAGAUGAUCUGUUACAUUAAACUGGGAUAUAUAAUAUAUUCCGAAGAACUACAGAAGAUUAUAUUUUCUUUCUUCCCGUUAAUAUCCAUUGUAUCUGAAGGUCUAAGGUCUUUCCCAAGUACGGUUUAGAAUCAAAACCCAAAUCCAAGGAACUUUUAGCUGCCCCGUGCUGUACUUUAUCUGCACCUGCGGUCAACAGCUGUAAUGCCAACUUGCGGAAGCACCGAUCUGUGUGAUCAGCUGAGGGUUCUUUAAAAAAAAAUACAAAAAGUGUUUGCCCAACUAAGUAAUUAGCAAUCAGCGAGUGCCUAAGAUCAGGUAUUUCAGGCAUCUGCGUCGCAGAAUCCACUUAAGGUAUAUGCCAUAUACAAAAAUAUGUACCGCUUACAUCGCAAUGUUGGGGAUGUGAUCGAAAAAGUUAUAGUAACAGCUGCAAGUUAACACACAGAGUAUCUGAUGGUCUGUUUGGGCCAAAGGGUUACCAGCCAACGCUGACGUCAAUUUUUGCCAAAUUAACGUUCAAGUGCGAAAUGAAAAUUAUGCAUUGGUCUGCGUUUCGAUGGUGCGAUUGUGUGCGUGUGCAGCAGUGAAAGUAGAAAGUGAUUCAAGAGGUGGCGGCAUGUUAAUGAUGAUGCUGAUCUGAUGCUCGGCUGAUGACGAAAUACCGAGGCACUGAACAAAAAUUGGAUCAAUAUUUAUCAUACAAGAUGUAUAGCUCAUAAAUAUUUCGAACUUUUAUUACUUCUUGUCAUAUCAUAUGGAUGUAUAUUUAUUAUAAUAGCAAGUUAAAUUUAAGAAACACAUAUACAAAAUAAAUUUUAUAUUACUAAGAUUAAGAUCUUAGUAUUCAGAAAAUCGAUCAGUAUAAUGCAAGUUGCACCACGCCCCCUGCAUUCGUCUUGUCACAAAAGCGAAACCCAGAAAAAAUGUACUGAUCGAUUUUUAAUCGAUUUAAUUUCUUUCCAUUGGUUCGUGACUGAAAAAAGGGAGGGGGGAAAAUGGGAACUCUUGAUGAUCAUUUGACGGAUGAAGGCGAUCGACUAAAUAUAAAUUGAACGAUCGUGUUUGGCACAUUUGUGCGAGAAAUCACAUCAAUUGUUUUAAUUGUCUGGUAUAUAGGCAAAGUUGGGAUGUGUGGGGCGAUACUAUAUGCGAUCUAUAGGUAAUGCCGCGUGCACGGAACCCAAAUCUAUAGCAAAACACUCGCCAGACGCGAUUAUGCAAUCGCCGCCCGAGAAUCUGAAUCGGGAGAGUCAAUAUAGGAAAGGCAAAGAUAACAUCGGGGUAAUGUGUGUAUUUUUUUCUCACUUAAGGCCUUUGGCCAGACAAACAGUCGACUCCCAUGAGUCGCAUGCAAAAUUUCGCUCAAAGUGAAUCAAUUAAAAGACCACUUUACAGCCGAUACGGAAGAUGACACACUUACCGAUAACGAAUUGCAGCAAAAAAUGCACUUAAAUUCUACAGAUUAUAGUGAUGUCAAAAUAAAUAAAUGUCCAGUUAGGCCUUACAAGAUGCUGCAUACACAAAAAUAGCAUAUGGUCGAGUAAAACACCCAUGAUUCAUGAUGCUUGUGUAAUAAUCCCAAUCAGUGUUGAAAUUAACCAAAUAUGGCGAAGACCCGAAAUCGAGUUCCCCAAAACGACGAUGAUGAUUCACAGGCGUCAGCAUUUCUCAAAAGAAGUCGGCGUCACUAAGAUAUAUUUAUUUAUUUUUAUGCGUUUUGGCGUCACCUGCUGACCCGCCUACCACUUGUUCACGAUCAAGAUAUAGAGUCAUAAAUUUAUGCCCAUUAAACUAUUUUCACUCUCGAUUCUGACGAUAGUCGGAUAAAUAUUAAAUAUCUUAACAAAAAUACGCAUUCCUAUUAAAAAUCCUGACCAAUAAAGUUACAUUUAUUCCCUUA